CACCCCUCAAGCCUUGCUUGGUGUUGGAGCACUACCGUUUGUAUAAAGCGGUAGGCUCUGAAAUUCAGUGGCGGGCUCGCUAAGACUCUGAGCGUAGUAGUUUAUCACCUCGCUUUGGAAGGAUUAGCGGUGCUCUUGCCGUAAAACCCCCCAACUUCUGAAUU
This 164-nucleotide unclassified non-coding RNA is filed under the name uncultured Pilidiella. RNAcentral describes it as "sequence contains ITS2". The record is from RNAcentral. Lineage: Eukaryota; Fungi; Ascomycota; Sordariomycetes; Diaporthales; Schizoparmaceae.